AGUGUAUUCAGAAUUUAAAACUAAUAAAGAUACGAAACAGGACUCUUGGGGUCAUUGUGAUGAAGGGCACAGAGCCUGUGGCCUCCCUAUGAACAAAUUCCCUACAUAU
This is a small nucleolar RNA of Otolemur garnettii (small-eared galago), 109 nucleotides long. Lineage: Eukaryota; Metazoa; Chordata; Mammalia; Primates; Galagidae. The record is from Ensembl.